UAUUGCACAAUGGAGGAAACUCUGAUGCAGUGACGCCGCGUGCAGGAAGAAGGUUUUCGGAUUGUAAACUGCUUUAGAUAGGGAAGAAAAAAGACAGUACCUAUAGAAUAAGCUCCGGCUAACUACGUGCCCGCAGCCGCGGUAAUACGUCGGGAGCAAGCGUUAUCCGGAUUUAUUGGGUGUAAAGGGUGCGUAGACGGGAAUUUAAGUUAGUUGUGAAAUCCCUCGGCUUGACUGAGGAACUGCAACUAAAACUGAAUUUCUUGAGUGCGGGAGAGGAAAGUGGGAUUCCUAGUGUAGCGGUGAAAUGCGUAGAUAUUAGGAGGAACACCAGUGGCGAAGGCGACUUUCUGGACCGUAACUGACGUUGAGGCACGAAAGUGUGGGGAGCAAACAGG
RNAcentral lists this ribosomal RNA (398 nucleotides) under uncultured bacterium. RNAcentral describes it as "bacterial SSU rRNA". It matches the Rfam family "Bacterial small subunit ribosomal RNA", at positions 362 to 776 of the family's 1533-position model. The record is from RNAcentral.